GCCAAUGGUUGACAGAGCUUAAAUGCGAGACCUUUCUAACAAACUUCGAAUAUUUUAUCCCCUUCUCCUCUGAUAACACAUCAAUGAAUGCUAAAACCUGAUCAAAAGAAGCUCUCAGAUCGCCGACCGUGUGGUUCUGGCUUUAUGGGUUCGCCUGUGAAAGGAUCAUAUUUGUAAGGUUCGCCUGUGAAAGGAUCAAACUUCAUUUGUCGGCGCUCGACAGGAUGUUCCUUGGGGCUCAGAUGCGAGCUGGAUCCUAUACCAGGUC
RNAcentral lists this long non-coding RNA (268 nucleotides) under Musa acuminata (dwarf banana). Its description in RNAcentral is "long non-coding RNA (MACU_LNC002213)". Lineage: Eukaryota; Viridiplantae; Streptophyta; Magnoliopsida; Zingiberales; Musaceae. The record is from RNAcentral.